UAGGGAAUCUUCGGCAAUGGGGGGAACCCUGACCGAGCAACGCCGCGUGAGUGAAGAAGGUUUUCGGAUCGUAAAGCUCUGUUGUUAAGGAAGAACGAGUGUGAGAAUGGAAAGUUCAUGCUGUGACGGUACUUAACCAGAAAGGGACGGCUAACUACGUGCCAGCAGCCGCGGUAAUACGUAGGUCCCGAGCGUUGUCCGGAUUUAUUGGGCGUAAAGCGAGCGCAGGCGGUUAGAAAAGUCUGAAGUGAAAGGCAGUGGCUCAACCAUUGUAGGCUUUGGAAACUGUUUAACUUGAGUGCAGAAGGGGAGAGUGGAAUUCCAUGUGUAGCGGUGAAACGCAUAGAUAUAUGGAGGAACACCGGUGGCGAAAGCGGCUCUCUGGUCUGUAACUGACGCAGAGGCUCGAAAGCGUGGGGAGCGAACAGG
Molecule: ribosomal RNA, 429 nt
Filed under: Bacteroidota bacterium
Lineage: Bacteria; Pseudomonadati; Bacteroidota
Description: Bacteroidetes bacterium partial 16S ribosomal RNA
Rfam family: Bacterial small subunit ribosomal RNA
Source: RNAcentral